CCUACGGGAGGCAGCAGUCGAGAAUCAUUCACAAUGGGGGAAACCCUGAUGGUGCGACGCCGCGUGGGGGAAUGCAGGUCUUCGGAUUGUAAACCCCUGUCAUGUGGGAGCAAAUUAAAAAGAUAGUACCACAAGAGGAAGAGACGGCUAACUCUGUGCCAGCAGCCGCGGUAAUACAGAGGUCUCAAGCGUUGUUCGGAAUCACUGGGCGUAAAGCGUGCGUAGGCUGUUUCGUAAGUCGUGUGGGAAAGGGGGGGGCUCAACCGGCGGAGGGCACAUGAUACUGGAAGAAUGGAGUAAAGUGGGGGGAGGCGGAAUUAGCGGGGGAGAGGUGAAAGGAUUAGAAAUAAAGAAGAA
RNAcentral lists this ribosomal RNA (357 nucleotides) under uncultured bacterium. RNAcentral's name for it is "partial 16S ribosomal RNA". It matches the Rfam family "Bacterial small subunit ribosomal RNA", at positions 338 to 706 of the family's 1533-position model. The record is from RNAcentral.